This is a small nuclear RNA of Lupinus angustifolius (narrow-leaved blue lupine), 155 nucleotides long. It matches the Rfam family "U1 spliceosomal RNA". From Rfam's summary of the family: U1 is a small nuclear RNA (snRNA) component of the spliceosome (involved in pre-mRNA splicing). Its 5' end forms complementary base pairs with the 5' splice junction, thus defining the 5' donor site of an intron. Lineage: Eukaryota; Viridiplantae; Streptophyta; Magnoliopsida; Fabales; Fabaceae. The record is from Rfam.
AUACUUACCUGAAUGGGGUCAAUGGGUCAUAAAGAUUCAUGACCUAGACUAGUAACUUCCAUUGCACUCUGGAAGGGUGCUAGUCUAAGAUUUUCUUAAAUAGGAGAGUCUACAUCAUAAUUUGUGGGAGUGGGACCAGCGUUCGCUUGACCCUC